CCUACGGGAGGCAGCAGUGAGGAAUAUUGGUCAAUGGACUAGAGUCUGAACCAGCCAAGUAGCGUGAAGGAUGACUGCCCUAUGGGUUGUAAACUUCUUUUAUAUGGGAAUAAAAUGUUACACGUGUGGGCUUUUGUAUGUACCAUAUGAAUAAGGAUCGGCUAACUCCGUGCCAGCAGCCGCGGUAAUACGGAGGAUCCGAGCGUUAUCCGGAUUUAUUGGGUUUAAAGGGAGCGUAGGUGGAUUGUUAAGUCAGUUGUGAAAGUUUGCGGCUCAACCGUAAAAUUGCAGUUGAGACUGGCAGUCUUGAGUACAGUAGAGGUGGGCGGAAUGCGUGGUGUAGCGGUGAAAUGCUUAGAUAUCACGAAGAACUCCGAUUGCGAAGGUAGCUCACUGGACUGCAACUGACACUGAGGCUCGAAAGUGUGGGUAUCAAACAGGAUUAGAUACCCCAGUAGUC
Molecule: ribosomal RNA, 460 nt
Filed under: uncultured bacterium
Lineage: Bacteria
Description: partial 16S ribosomal RNA
Rfam family: Bacterial small subunit ribosomal RNA
Source: RNAcentral